UUUUANCUUCUGUUAUCGGGGUGGGACUAAGACAUGCGAGUCAAGCGUCUCUAGCUAUGUAGAGACGCGGCAUACGGCUCAGUAACACGUGGCUNACCUACCCUCAGGACAGGGACAACACCGGGAAACUGGGGCUAAUACCUGAUAGGUGAGGAUGCCUGGAAUGGUUUCUCACUCAAAAGGCUUUGGGAACAUGCUUCCAUUGUCGCCUGGGGAUGGGGCCGCGACCGAUCAGGUUGUUGGUGAGGUAACGGCUCACCAAGCCUUUAACCGGUACGGGCCGUGAGAGCGGUAGCCCGGAGAUGGGUACUGAGACAAGGACCCAGGCCCUACGGGGCGCAGCAGUCGCGAAAACUCCGCAAUGCACGCAAGUGUGACGGGGCUACCCCGAGUGCCGUCCGCUGAGGAUGGCUUUUCCUUGGUUUAACUAGCCAGGGGAAUAAGGAGAGGGCAAGACUGGUGUCAAGCCGCCGCGGUAAUACCAGCUCUUCGAGUGGUAGGGAUGAUUAUUUGGCUUAAAGCGUCCGUAGCCCGGCUUAGCAAGUCUCCUGUUAAAUUCAAGCGACCUAAUCGUUGAGCCCGCGGGAGAUACUACUAGGCUAGGANGCGGGACAGGUCGACGGUACUUNUGGGGUANGGGUGAAAUCCUAUAAUCCCNGGAGGACCACCAAUGGCCAAAG
RNAcentral lists this ribosomal RNA (680 nucleotides) under uncultured crenarchaeote. RNAcentral's name for it is "bacterial SSU rRNA". It matches the Rfam family "Archaeal small subunit ribosomal RNA", at positions 1 to 672 of the family's 1478-position model. The record is from RNAcentral. Lineage: Archaea; Thermoproteati; Thermoproteota.